GUUCUCCCCGAAAUAGCUUUAGGGCUAGCCUCAAGCUUAGAGAAACGGAGGUAGAGCACUGAAUGUCCUAGGGGGUAUUGCACUUACCGAAGACUAUCAAACUCCGAAUACCGUAUUCUUAUGCUUGGGAGUCAGACUGUGGGUGAUAAGAUUCAUAGUCAAAAGGGCAACAGCCCAGAUCGUCAGCUAAGGUCCCUAAAUGUACGUUAAGUGGUAAAGGAUGUGGGAUUGCACAGACAACCAGGAUGUUGGCUUAGAAGCAGCCACUCAUUUAAAGAGUGCGUAAUAGCUCACUGGUCGAGUGAUUCUGCGCCGAAAAUUUCCGGGGCUAAAACUUACUACCGAAGCUACGGCAUCAUUAUGAUGGGUAGGGGAGCUUUCUAUGUGGCUUGAAGCAUGACCGUAAGGACAUGUGGACUGUAUAGAAGUGAGAAUGUUGGCAUGAGUAGCGAGAUGUGGGUGAGAAUCCCACAGGCCGUAAACCCAAGGUUUCCAGGGGAAGGUUCGUCCGCCCUGGGUUAGUCAGGACCUAAGCCGAGGCCGAAAGGCGUAGGUGAUGGACAACAGGUUGAUAUUCCUGUACCACCAAUAACCGUUUGAGAAAUGGGAUGACACAGUAGGAUAAGCUAACCGCACUGUUGGUUAUGUGCGGGCAAGUAUUGAGGCAGUUCCGAUAGGCAAAUCCGUCGGAAUAAUGCUGGGGUACGAUGCGGAGCGAAAUUUAGUAGCGAAGUAGCUGAUUUCACACUGUCGAGAAAAGUCUCUAUCGAGGUUAAAGGUGCCUGUACCGCAAACCGACACAGGUGGGUGAGGAGAGUAUCCUAAGGCCAGCCAGAGAACUGUUGUUAAGGAACUCGGCAAAAUGACCCCGUAACUUAGGGAGAAGGGGUGCCAUGGAAACAUGGCCGCAGAGAAUAGGCCCAAGCGACUGUUUACCAAAAACAUAGGUUUCUGCUAAGUCGCAAGACGAUGUAUAGGAGCUGACGCCUGCCCGGUGCUGGAAGGUUAAGGGGAUCUGUUAGAGCAAUCGAAGCAGUGAACUUAAGCCCCAGUAAACGGCGGCCGUAACUAUAACGGUCCUAAGGUAGCGAAAUUCCUUGUCGGGUAAGUUCCGACCCGCACGAAAGGCGUAACGAUUUGGGCACUGUCUCAACAACAGACUCGGUGAAAUUGUAAUACCGGUGAAGAUGCCGGUUACCUGCGACAGGACGGAAAGACCCCAUGGAGCUUUACUGUAGCUUGACAUUGAGUCUCGGUGCUACAUGUACAGGAUAGGUGGGAGGCUAUGAAGCAUGGACGUCAGUCUGUGUGGAGCCAUCCUUGGGAUACCACCCUUGUAGUACUGGGAUUCUAACCAGCUGCCUUGAAUCAGGUAGUGGGACACUGUCAGGUGGACAGUUUGACUGGGGCGGUCGCCUCCUAAAAAGUAACGGAGGCGCUCAAAGGUUCUCUCAGUACGGUCGGAAAUCGUACGUAGAGUGUAAAGGCAGAAGAGAGCUUGAUUGCAAGACAUACAGGUCGAGCAAGGACGAAAGUCGGACUUAGUGAUCCGGUGGUUCCGCAUGGAAGGGCCAUCGCUCAACGGAUAAAAGCUACCCUGGGGAUAACAGGCUGAUCUCCCCCAAGAGUCCACAUCGACGGGGAGGUUUGGCACCUCGAUGUCGGCUCAUCACAUCCUGGGGCUGUAGUAGGUCCCAAGGGUUGGGCUGUUCGCCCAUUAAAGUGGUACGCGAGCUGGGUUCAGAACGUCGUGAGACAGUUCGGUCCCUAUCCGUCGCAGGCGUAGGAAAUUUGAGGAGACCUGUCCUUAGUACGAGAGGACCGGGAUGGACGUACCGCUGGUGUACCAGUUGUUCUGCCAAGGGCAUAGCUGGGUAGCUAAGUACGGACGAGAUAAACGCUGAAGGCAUCUAAGCGUGAAACUCCCCUCGAGAUAAGUGUUCCCAUCCUUCGGGAGUAAGGCCCCUUGU
Molecule: ribosomal RNA, 1970 nt
Filed under: human gut metagenome
Description: bacterial LSU rRNA
Rfam family: Bacterial large subunit ribosomal RNA
Source: RNAcentral